This 102-nucleotide non-coding RNA is filed under the name Bacillus sp. (in: firmicutes). Its description in RNAcentral is "Bacillus sp. Guanine sequence". It matches the Rfam family "Purine riboswitch aptamer". From Rfam's summary of the family: Riboswitches are metabolite binding domains within certain messenger RNAs that serve as precision sensors for their corresponding targets. Allosteric rearrangement of mRNA structure is mediated by ligand binding, and this results in modulation of gene expression. The record is from RNAcentral. Lineage: Bacteria; Bacillati; Bacillota; Bacilli; Caryophanales; Bacillaceae. RNAcentral also lists the same sequence under 1 other name.
AGUGUAUAGAGUUAUUACCUUCGUAUAUCCUUGGGAAUAAGGCCUAAGAGUUUCUACCGGAUUUCCUUAAAAAAUCUGACUAUGAAGGCAGAAUAAAUCAAG